Long non-coding RNA from Notolabrus celidotus (New Zealand spotty), 621 nucleotides. RefSeq lists it as uncharacterized. The record is from RefSeq and is a predicted model, not a curated record. NCBI's taxonomy places the organism in Eukaryota, Metazoa, Chordata, Actinopteri, Labriformes, Labridae. The transcript has 5 exons.
AUCUCCAUUGUUUUUGAACAGGAAGUUGGAUCCGUACUCGUUGUCACAGAACACAUCAGAGAGGGAUUGGCUGACAAUGGGCCCAACAACAACACCUCGCCCUCCUGCACGAGAGACACAACACUGAGCGAUCCCACCGGAGCUCUGCACUCAUCCUGACCCGGAGGAGCAGACACAGCAGCUUCAGCAAGGACAUGCUCGACCAUGGGCUCACCGGAGGUAUAGACCAGCAAGAGAGUAGCUGCUACAGUCCCCAUGGUCUCUUAGCUUCUCCUCUUAACAACACAGGCAAAUGUGCAGCUGGAAGCCCAGGCACAGUUCUCAUGUAAUCACAGCUGGAGAUCCUGCAAUCAUCACACUCUCAACUUCACCAGCAGAAACCCCGGAGAGCCUUGGUCAUGACCAACCUGUAAUUACAGCAUCUUCAGAGUCUCAUCCAAGAGACACAGGCAGCCCAGAGACAUGGCACGGUCCAGGAUUUCUAAGAAUGGACUGAGGGAGUCCAGGAGGGGAGUGUCACUUGCUAAAAUUGGCCAAACCUUGCAAUCCAUCCUGACUUUUCCUGUCAGCUGUUCAAAAUGUUUAAGAUGUUACAUAAACUGAGCAUUAUAUUGUCUCAGA